This 441-nucleotide ribosomal RNA is filed under the name Rhodomicrobium vannielii. RNAcentral's name for it is "bacterial SSU rRNA". It matches the Rfam family "Bacterial small subunit ribosomal RNA", at positions 470 to 911 of the family's 1533-position model. Lineage: Bacteria; Pseudomonadati; Pseudomonadota; Alphaproteobacteria; Hyphomicrobiales; Hyphomicrobiaceae. The record is from RNAcentral.
UGACGGUACCCGCAGAAUAAGCCCCGGCUAACUUCGUGCCAGCAGCCGCGGUAAUACGAAGGGGGCUAGCGUUGUUCGGAAUCACUGGGCGUAAAGCGUACGCAGGCGGAUUGAUAAGUCAGGGGUGAAAUCCCGGGGCUCAACCUCGGAAUUGCCUUUGAUACUGUCUGUCUCGAGUUCGGGAGAGGUUGGCGGAAUUCCUAGUGUAGAGGUGAAAUUCGUAGAUAUUAGGAAGAACACCAGUGGCGAAGGCGGCCAACUGGCCCGAUACUGACGCUCAUGUACGAAAGCGUGGGGAGCAAACAGGAUUAGAUACCCUGGUAGUCCACGCUGUAAACUAUGGAUGCUAGCCGUUGGGGAGCUUGCUCUUCAGUGGCGCAGCUAACGUCUUAAGCAUCCCGCCUGGGGAGUACGGUCGCAAGAUUAAAACUCAAAGGAAUU